GUGAGGAAUAUUGGACAAUGGAGGAAACUCUGAUCCAGCCAUGCCGCGUGAGUGAUGAAGGCCUUCGGGUUGUAAAGCUCUUUCGGGUGUGAAAAUGAUGAUGGUAACACCAGAAGAAGCCCCGGCUAACUCCGUGCCAGCAGCCGCGGUAAUACGGAGGGGGCGAGCGUUGUUCGGAAUCACUGGGCGUAAAGCGUGCGUAGGCGGUUAUACAAGUCAGGAGUGAAAUCCCAGGGCUCAACCUUGGAAUUGCUUUUGAGACUGUAUGACUAGAGAUCUAGAGAGGUUGGGGGAAUUCCGAGUGUAGAGGUGAAAUUCGCAGAUAUUCGGAGGAACACCAGUGGCGUAGGCGCCCAACUGGCUAGAUACUGACGCUGAGGCACGAAAGCGUGGGGAGCAAACAGGAUUAGAAACCCCUGUAGUCC
Molecule: ribosomal RNA, 425 nt
Filed under: uncultured bacterium
Lineage: Bacteria
Description: partial 16S ribosomal RNA
Rfam family: Bacterial small subunit ribosomal RNA
Source: RNAcentral